Molecule: ribosomal RNA, 253 nt
Filed under: uncultured bacterium
Lineage: Bacteria
Description: partial 16S ribosomal RNA
Rfam family: Bacterial small subunit ribosomal RNA
Source: RNAcentral
UACGGGGGGAGCAAGCGUUGUUCGGAUUUACUGGGCGUAAAGGGCGCGUAGGCGGCGCAACAAGUCACUUGUGAAAUCUCCGGGCUUAACCCGGAGCGGCCAAGUGAUACUGUCGUGCUAGAGUGCGGAGGGGGCUACUGGAAUUCUCGGUGUAGCGGUGAAAUGCGUAGAUAUCGAGAGGAACACCUGCGGCGAAGGCGGGUAGCUGGGCCGACACUGACGCUGAGGCGCGAAAGCCAGGGGAGCGAACGGG